Molecule: ribosomal RNA, 365 nt
Filed under: uncultured bacterium
Lineage: Bacteria
Description: bacterial SSU rRNA
Rfam family: Bacterial small subunit ribosomal RNA
Source: RNAcentral
GGGCCCGCACAAGCGGUGGAGUAUGUGGUUUAAUUCGAUGAUACGCGAGGAACCUUACCAGGGCUUAAAUGUAGUCUGACAGGGGUGGAAACACCCCUCCUUCGGGCAGAUUACAAGGUGCUGCAUGGUUGUCGUCAGCUCGUGCCGUGAGGUGUCGGGUUAAGUCCCAUAACGAGCGCAACCCCUAUCAUUAGUUGCUAACAUUAGUUGAGGACUCUAAUGAAACUGCCCGCGUAAGCGGUGAGAAGGUGGGAUGACGUCAAAUCAUCACGGCCCUUACGUCUAGGGCUACACACGUGCUACAAUGGUAACUACAGAGGGAAGCUAUCUGGUGACAGUGAGCAAAUCCUUAAAAGUUAUCCCAG